UUGUCGAGGUACGAGUCUGUGGUCUCGAAGGUGGAUGUGCCGCGGUAUUACUCUCCACACCAGACCGUAUGGCCACUCCCUGUCUCGGUGGUAACCCAGAAGAAUCUCUCCUCUGUAUAUCAGUGCGAGCUGGUGAAGAUGAUGCAACUACCGUGGCUCGUCCUAACCGUGGGCAAUUACUCCUAAUAUGAUCCCUCUGUCCACAUUGGAAACAUCUUGUUGGCUCUCUACAUAGCCCACUAUGAUAAUUCCCACAAUUUCUGCAUCUGUUAGAACCUCCGAAACUCUUCCCAGAACCAGUCAUAGCAGAUCUGCUAAACCUCGAAGGUCUCUGUUGUGAUGGUGGAAAUGGAGGUCGAG
Molecule: long non-coding RNA, 360 nt
Filed under: Theobroma cacao (cacao)
Lineage: Eukaryota; Viridiplantae; Streptophyta; Magnoliopsida; Malvales; Malvaceae
Description: long non-coding RNA (TCAC_LNC006354)
Source: RNAcentral